GGUGAACAUAUGAGGAUCUCAAAAUUUUAUAAUUAUCUCGCAGUUUUUUUCCAAAAAUAAUAGCAUGUUUAUAUGUAGUAUAAUUUGUGCAAAACCAUAUAUAUAGCAUUUCAAGAGCCUAAAUUGACACUCAAUUCAGCUUUGGCAACCCGUGUGCACUGCCUUCCAGCACCAAUCAAACAGAGAUCUAUCCAAGAACUAUGAUACAACACCAGGAAACAAAAUAUGCUUCAAAAUUAUUUUGUGAUCCUGCCAAACAACAACAAUAAUUAUGCCAAUACCUAAUCAAAACCCAAAAUUGAUUCUUCCACAAUAAGUAUUCAUUACUCCUUAAAGAUUUUCCGUGACAGAAUAUUUCAUAAAAGAAAAAGGUAAAAAAUCUAAUUUAUCAAACAUGCCAUAACACUAAUUUCUGAGGCAAACAAGUGAACUAGUUCUUACUAAAGAGUUCUGAGAAAGUAACACAGAUAACAUAAUCAUAAUGUAUUGUAAUACACAACAGAUUAUGCCUUAUGGUCAUCUUCAUUUUGACACUGAUUGCAACAUAUUUAAUAUACUAAAUUUGUAUAUACACAAUUACAAGAAAGACUACGUCAUUCACAUAAAAAGACACCGAGUAAAUCAUUGAAUGGAAUCAUAUCAUGAAUUGAACCACCAAAACCCUAAUCAAC
RNAcentral lists this unclassified non-coding RNA (671 nucleotides) under Hevea brasiliensis (rubber tree). The record is from RNAcentral. Lineage: Eukaryota; Viridiplantae; Streptophyta; Magnoliopsida; Malpighiales; Euphorbiaceae.